Molecule: long non-coding RNA, 1161 nt
Organism: Pan troglodytes (chimpanzee)
Lineage: Eukaryota; Metazoa; Chordata; Mammalia; Primates; Hominidae
Exons: 5
Source: RefSeq, a predicted model, not a curated record
CAUAGGAAGCACCAUGUACCCCUGCCCCUGGCUAGAGGGUCUGGCCACUCCCCUUUCUACCCACACCCUCUGUGGGCCACCUAAUGUGGGGAGUGGGAAUACCACCCUGCAGACCCCUCCCUUCUCUGGCCACAGGCAGCUAGUCCCACGUCCAGCCUGCCAAAGCCCUCUGCAGCCCCCACCCCUGCCCGCCUCUACUCCCAGGAGUGGAGGGCUCUCUUUGCAGGAGCCCAGAAGUUCAUUUCCUGUUCCAGCAGCUCCUGAGGUUGGGUCUCCCAUGGCUGCAGCUGGCUGACCGGCCCCAUGCUGCGCUCUCCUCUCUGGCCUCAACUCGCUGUGACUCUAGCAUGGUUUAGUGGAUCCAGCCUCACUCCAUUUACAGGAACCCCGCGUGCCUUCCAUCGUCCUCUGCAUCUCAGCUCUGACUUGGCAGCCCUCCGACCUCGGCCUGGUUACUUCGCCUUUCAGCAGCUUCUUUAUGUGGCUGCAGUGAGAAUUAAGUGACAUAAUCCAUGUACAGUGCCAGGCACACAGAAGGUCAUUCAGGAAAGAUGAUUAAACUACUCACCCAGGGACACUGACUGUGAUCUACCCAGAGCUGUCUCUCCUGAGCCCAGCAGCCAGAUUUUCACUCCUGCCCAUGAGGUUCUUCAUGAACAUUAAACAUCCUGCAAGUUCUAUGCUGUGGCCCUCCAAGUGUGGACCCCAGACCAGCAGCCUCAGUAUCACCCAGGAACUUUCAGAAAUGCAAAUCCCUGGGUCCCACCCCAGACCCGGGAGUUGGAGAUGGAGGGUGAGGCCAGCCCCCAGAGGUGACUGGAGCAAUUCUGAGCCUAGGUCUCAAGAAGUCUUGCACUCUUCUGCUCGAUUUCUUGGAACCCUGCACGGCAGGCCUGUUGGAGGAUCACAGAUACACGGCUCAGUCCCCACAACUGCGCUAGCAACCCACCAGCCAACCCCCAGACAUGUGAGAGAUGCCAUCUUAGACCAGCCAGCCCCCAGCCCCCAGCUGAUCCUUCACUGAUACAGAUGCAGGAGCUAGCCCAGCCAAGAUGAGCCCCCAGCCUGCCAAGACCAGUAGAACCUCCCAUUGAGCCUAACCUUAAUGACUGACCUGCAUAAUCGUGAGCUAGAAAUGUGGUUGUUGUUUUAAUCCUCUAA